Vanessa tameamea is the source of this 614-nucleotide long non-coding RNA. RefSeq lists it as uncharacterized. The transcript has 3 exons. NCBI's taxonomy places the organism in Eukaryota, Metazoa, Arthropoda, Insecta, Lepidoptera, Nymphalidae. The record is from RefSeq and is a predicted model, not a curated record.
UUAGAAGAAGAUAACUGACAUUGGAAAAUUCUGAGUUCGGUCCUUAUUAUAAAGUGAUAAAUUAUUAAUAAAUAUCAUUAAACAAUAUGAGCUUAAAAUUAUUGUGGAAUUGCGCCAGGAUAAUCUUGUUAUCAGGAUUAUCUUUUGGAAUUUAAAAUAUAUACUCCAAAUUGCAGUGGACUAUAAUUGGGGGUAUAAAGAAUCCGCUUGGGCAGGUAACAGUGGCCGCAUGAUUUGCGUGUCCUUACUGGGUCUCGUGAGUGCUACGGCGUUAAUCGUUUGCAUACCCUACUGCACUCAGAAAAUCUUACAUCGCAAGUGUACCUGCCCACCUGUGCCCAUCUGCCCUGACUGCGGAAUACCCUACUGAAUAUUGUUAAAAAUUCUUAACUUUAGUCAACUAAAAUUGAAUCUAUAUUCUUCUUAAUAGAGAUAUUGUUACGAACGAUUAAACAUCUGUUGUAUUAAAUUUAUUUUAAAUUGAAAAUAUGAUUUGUUUAUCUGCAGCCACCGCUAUGGCAGCCGCGGGAAUCAUUGUUAUCGGUCCGAUAAUAUGCGAAAGACUUUGUAAAUGUCUUAAAACGAAAAAGAAAUGAAAGUUUUAAUCUAAAUAA